UACGUAGGUGGCAAGCGUUGUCCGGAUUUAUUGGGUUUAAAGGGUGCGUAGGCGGCUUUAUAAGUCAGUGCUGAAAUAUCCCGGCUUAACCGGGAGGGUGGCAUUGAUACUGCAGAGCUUGAGUGAAGUCGAGGUAGGCGGAAUUGACGGUGUAGCGGUGAAAUGCUUAGAUAUCGUCAAGAACACCGAUAGUGAAGACAACUUACUAGACUUCAACUGACGCUGAGGCACGAAAGUGUGGGGAUCAAACAGG
This 253-nucleotide ribosomal RNA is filed under the name uncultured bacterium. Its description in RNAcentral is "partial 16S ribosomal RNA". It matches the Rfam family "Bacterial small subunit ribosomal RNA", at positions 524 to 776 of the family's 1533-position model. The record is from RNAcentral.